RNAcentral lists this ribosomal RNA (468 nucleotides) under uncultured bacterium. RNAcentral describes it as "partial 16S ribosomal RNA". It matches the Rfam family "Bacterial small subunit ribosomal RNA", at positions 28 to 507 of the family's 1533-position model. The record is from RNAcentral.
GACGAACGCUGGCGGCGUGCUUAACACAUGCAAGUCGAACGGAAAGGCCCUGCUUUUGUGGGGUGCUCGAGUGGCGAACGGGUGAGUAACACGUGAGUAACCUGCCCUUGACUUUGGGAUAACUUCAGGAAACUGGGGCUAAUACCGGAUAGGAGCUCCUGCUGCAUGGUGGGGGUUGGAAAGUUUCGGCGGUUGGGGCUGGACUCGCGGCUUAUCAGCUUGUUGGGGGGGUAGUGGCUUACCAAGGCUUUGACGGGUAGCCGGCCUGAGAGGGUGACCGGCCACAUUGGGACUGAGAUACGGCCCAGACUCCUACGGGAGGCAGCAGUGGGGAAUAUUGCACAAUGGGCGGAAGCCUGAUGCAGCAACGCCGCGUGCGGGAUGACGGCCUUCGGGUUGUAAACCGCUUUCGCCUGUGACGAAGCGUGAGUGACGGUAAUGGGUAAAGAAGCACCGGCUAACUACGUG